This 817-nucleotide ribosomal RNA is filed under the name uncultured bacterium. Its description in RNAcentral is "bacterial SSU rRNA". It matches the Rfam family "Bacterial small subunit ribosomal RNA", at positions 8 to 853 of the family's 1533-position model. The record is from RNAcentral.
AGAGUUUGAUCCUGGCUCAGGAUGAACGCUGGCGGCGUGCCUAACACAUGCAAGUCGAGCGAUUCUCUUCGGAGAAGAGCGGCGGACGGGUGAGUAAUCGCGUGGGUAACCUGCCCUGUACACACGGAUAACAUACCGAAAGGUAUGCUAAUACGAGAUAAUAUGCUUUUAUCGCAUGGUAGAAGUAUCAAAGCUCCGGCGGUACAGGAUGGACCCGCGUCUGAUUAGCUAGUUGGUAAGGUAACGGCUUACCAAGGCGACGAUCAGUAGCCGACCUGAGAGGGUGAUCGGCCACAUUGGAACUGAGACACGGUCCAAACUCCUACGGGAGGCAGCAGUGGGGAAUACUGCACAAUGGGCGAAAGCCUGAUGCAGCAACGCCGCGUGAGUGAUGAAGGCCUUCGGGUCGUAAAACUCUGUCCUCAAGGAAGAUAAUGACGGUACUUGAGGAGGAAGCCCCGGCUAACUACGUGCCAGCAGCCGCGGUAAUACGUAGGGGGCUAGCGUUAUCCGGAAUUACUGGGCGUAAAGGGUGCGUAGGUGGUUUCUUAAGUCAGAGGUGAAAGGCUACGGCUCAACCGUAGUAAGCCUUUGAAACUGGGAAACUUGAGUGCAGGAGAGGAGAGUGGAAUUCCUAGUGUAGCGGUGAAAUGCGUAGAUAUUAGGAGGAACACCAGUUGCGAAGGCGGCUCUCUGGACUGUAACUGACACUGAGGCACGAAAGCGUGGGGAGCAAACAGGAUUAGAUACCCUGGUAGUCCACGCCGUAAACGAUGAGUACUAGCUGUCGGAGGUUACCCCCUUCGGUGGCGCAGCU